AGACAUCAAUUAAAUCUGUGCU
Molecule: microRNA, 22 nt
Filed under: Danio rerio (zebrafish)
Lineage: Eukaryota; Metazoa; Chordata; Actinopteri; Cypriniformes; Danionidae
Description: Dre-Mir-723-P2_3p (mature (guide))
Source: RNAcentral